This 460-nucleotide ribosomal RNA is filed under the name uncultured bacterium. RNAcentral describes it as "partial 16S ribosomal RNA". It matches the Rfam family "Bacterial small subunit ribosomal RNA", at positions 338 to 795 of the family's 1533-position model. The record is from RNAcentral.
CCUACGGGAGGCAGCAGUGAGGAAUAUUGGUCAAUGGACGAGAGUCUGAACCAGCCAAGUAGCGUGAAGGAUGACUGCCCUAUGGGUUGUAAACUUCUUUUAUAAAGGAAUAAAACGAGGCACGUGUGCCUUUUUGCAUGUACUUUAUGAAUAAGGAUCGGCUAACUCCGUGCCAGCAGCCGCGGUAAUACGGAGGAUCCGAGCGUUAUCCGGAUUUAUUGGGUUUCAAGGGAGCGUAGAUGGGUUGUUAAGUCAGUUGUGAAAGUUUGCGGCUCAACCGUAAAAUUGCAAUUGAUACUGGCAGUCGUGAGUACAGUUGAGGUAAGCGGAAUUCGUGGUGUAGCGGUGAAAUGCUUAGAUAGCACGAAGAACCCCGAUUGCGAAGGCAGCUUACUAAACUGUGACUGACAUUGAUGCUCGAAAGUGUGGGUAUCAAACAGGAUUAGAUACCCUAGUAGUC